This 248-nucleotide ribosomal RNA is filed under the name uncultured bacterium. RNAcentral's name for it is "partial 16S ribosomal RNA". It matches the Rfam family "Bacterial small subunit ribosomal RNA", at positions 15 to 275 of the family's 1533-position model. The record is from RNAcentral.
GAUCUGGCUCAGGAUGAACGCUGGCGGCGUGCCUAACACAUGCAAGUCGAGCGAUCUCUUCGGAGAGAGCGGCGGACGGGUGAGUAACGCGUGGGUAACCUGCCCUGUACACACGGAUAACAUACCGAAAGGUAUGCUAAUACGGGAUAAUAUAUAAGAGUCGCAUGACUUUUAUAUCAAAGAUUUUUCGGUACAGGAUGGACCCGCGUCUGAUUAGCUUGUUGGCGGGGUAACGGCCCACCAAGGCG